UACAGAGGGUGCGAGCGUUAAUCGGAAUUACUGGGCGUAAAGCGCGCGUAGGCGGCCACUUAAGUCGGAUGUGAAAGCCCCUGGCUCAACUGGGGAAGUGCACCCGAAACUGAAUGGCUUGAAUGCAAAAGAGGGUCGCGGAAUUCCCGGUGUAGAGGUGAAAUUCGUAGAUAUCGGGAGGAACACCGGUGGCGAAGGCGGCGACCUGGGUUGACAUUGACGCUGAGGCGCGAAAGCGUGGGGAGCAAACAGG
Molecule: ribosomal RNA, 253 nt
Filed under: uncultured bacterium
Lineage: Bacteria
Description: partial 16S ribosomal RNA
Rfam family: Bacterial small subunit ribosomal RNA
Source: RNAcentral